AGGGCACUGAGUGAGGGGUCCCUGUUCCUGCAGGCCGGUGGCCGAGAGCUCCCUCUACCGACAGCGGCUGGAGGUCAUCGCCGUAAGUGACCCCGCCCGGGAACCCCAAGGCCUCCCUCCCCUGCCGGGUCCAGGGCACCCCAUAAACCCCAGCAUGCCGCCUCCAUUCUCCCGCUUUCUGCUCCCUCGGAAAGGUGGGGCUGCAGCCCGGCACGCCCAGACAUUCCCAGACACCCCAUGUCCGAGCCCCUGCCAAGCCCUGCGGCUUAGCACCCCAUCCCUGGAGCCCUCCCUAGGGACCCUUUGGCCCAGCCCUUCCGCGGACUCCGCCCCGCCUCCAUCUCGUACUCUUGUCUCUCAGCCCCCAACUCUCUGAGUUCUGCAUCACUUCCCAGCCCUCCUCUGGACCCCGAUUUCCCUGCCCCCCCAUAUUUGCACCCCCACUUCUCUGACCCCCCAAAUCUCUGAUCUGCAUCUCUGUGCCCCAUCUUUCUGUUCUCCACUUCUUCCCUGGUCUCUCCGGGGUUCUCCCAGCUGUACCCCACCUCGGACUGACACCUUCCUGCGCAUCCCCAAAUCUAGACCCCUCCCACCUCUGCGCACCGGAUCCGGGGAUCCCCUCCGACUGGAUUUCCCUACCCGAGGCUCCGCCCCCCAACCCCUCCAGGACCCCUAUUGGGCGCGGCGUGGCCUCCGCUGCCUCUCGGCCACGCCCCCUGCCCGCUGCCGCUGCUGAGUCAGCGCCUCGACGGCCCCUCCCCCUCUCAUACCCCACCCCCCAGCAGGGCUGGACCCCCGGGAGGGGAGGGGGAGGGAAGGGAAGGGGGAGAGGAGGUCCCGCCCAGCCCGCGCUCUGCGCAGGAGAAGCGGCGGCUGCAGGAGCGGAUCCGCGCCGCACGCCGCGAGCUGGAGGAGGAGAAGCUGCGCGUGCAGCGGCUCAAGAGGAAAUCCCUGCGCGAGCGCUGGCUGAUGGACGGCGCCGCGGAGACCCCGCAGCAGCCCGGGGACCCCGCCGCCCAGGAUCCCCAGUCACCCGAGGGCCAGGCCCAGACUCGCAUCCGCAGCCUGGAGGACAGCUUGUUCACGCUCCAGGCCCAGCUGCAGCUGUUGCAGAGCGCGUCCGCGGGCGCGCAGCCCCGAUCCCCGGCCAGGCCCGCCUGGCGCAGGCAGGGUCACCGGCCUCUCUCCCAGCCCGCCAUGGAGACAGGUCCUGCAGGUGAGUAUCGGCGGCCUCGGGUCUGGGGCUCAGGUCACCCCCAGACUGCACAGCCUGCCGGUCAUCCUCACCACCUCCUCCCCCUUCUCUCCUCUCUGGUUCCAUUAGGUCAGGCGGAUGUGGACAAGAGAGCGUCCCUGCCGGUGGGGCCCACGGGUUUGUUCCUAGAGUCCCACUCUGAGCCCAGAGAGGGGGCCCCCGGGCAGGUCCCUGGGGCAGGAGGGUACCCUCAAGAAGCCAACGGCCCCUGCUCGGGGCCCAGCCCUCCUCAGGAGCAGCGGCAGAGCCCGGGGCCAGGGACCACAGCGGAGGGGGACACUGCAAAGGCCCGAGCUGGGAAUGUGGUGGAGGUGGUGUGGGAGGGGCUCCGGGGGCCCCAGGACUGUGUCACAGGUGCUACCGGCCCGGAGUUGGAGGCCAGGGUGGAGCAAGUGGUGUUGGAGGCCUUGAGGGACAGACAGGGGCCCGGCAGCCCCGAGCUCCCUGCCUGGGCACAAGAGAACAGGGGUGUGGUGGAGGUGGUCUGGGAGGGGCUGGGGGGCCGUGACCCUGAGGCCCUGGGUGGUGUGGGCCCAGGGCUCCAGGAACGCCUGGGGGGUGAGGGGUCCCCAGACAGGGAGCCCAACAGGCAGGCAGGACCCGCUGGGGAUGCGGGUUCCUUCAUCUGGGUGGAGAGGGUGACGGUGGGGGAGGAUUGGGAGGAGCUGCUGAUGGAGGGGCUCGAGGGACCCGUGGAGGCUG
Cavia porcellus (domestic guinea pig) is the source of this 1957-nucleotide long non-coding RNA. Lineage: Eukaryota; Metazoa; Chordata; Mammalia; Rodentia; Caviidae. The record is from Ensembl.